This 119-nucleotide ribosomal RNA is filed under the name Cryptocercus punctulatus (brown-hooded cockroach). RNAcentral describes it as "partial 28S ribosomal RNA". The record is from RNAcentral. Lineage: Eukaryota; Metazoa; Arthropoda; Insecta; Blattodea; Cryptocercidae.
ACAGCCGUUGCACACGAGUCAGUCGAUCCUAAGCCCUAGGAGAAAUCCGAUGCCGAUGCGGCGGCGGCGGGCCUCGCGAGGGGCCCGCCCGCCCCGUCCGGGCGAAAGGGAAUCCGGUU